Tympanuchus pallidicinctus (lesser prairie-chicken) is the source of this 1370-nucleotide long non-coding RNA. RefSeq lists it as uncharacterized. The transcript has 4 exons. The record is from RefSeq and is a predicted model, not a curated record. Lineage: Eukaryota; Metazoa; Chordata; Aves; Galliformes; Phasianidae.
UGCGCGGCUCUUUUUGGUGUCCAUGCGGCGGGAGGCCGCUAUGGGGCGCUCUACGCCGGGCUGAGCAGAGUAAAGCGGGCGCCGCGCGGAGCCGGGAGCGGCAUCGGCAUCGGGCUGUGUCCGGGUGUAGCUGGACGAUCCCCGAACCGAAGCGCUGGCCGCAUUGAGUGACCGGAGCAGUUUGGGGAAAGGAGACGACCGCAUUUCGGGUGACAUCUGCCUGAGGACAAGGGGGAAGAAGAGUGAGUCAGCCUCUCUGCCCUGCUCCGAGUGCAGCCGCUAUCUCUGCCUGCCGGGGAAGCCAGCCGAGCUGUGCGGGUGGCCCUUGCCCUGCGAGGGGCUGAAGCACGAUCACACUGGGGCAGAUAACUUCCUUAAGGUCAGAGGUAUCGCGGUGGCUGCGGCUGGUCAGUUAUGCUGGCAUCCACAGAUAACAGCUGAUCACGGGCAACAGCUGGUCCUGGGCCUUUGUGAAGUCUGCACAAUGCGUGUGUUUACUUCGGUGUCCUCUGGAGAGGGAUAGGGCCCUUCAAGUCAGGUGCAGCACAGCUUGACUGCGUCCCAAGAACUUGAAAAAGCAAUGAACAAGAGUGGUUUAGACAGAUACAGAAAAAUAAAGUUCUACUUGUUCAGAUUCAGGGUGCGUGGAGAAGAAAAACAAAUCAACAAAUCAUGUGGAUACCCCAAAAAAUAAACAAUACUUGAAUCAACUGUGCACGAUGACAGCACAAAACCGAAAAGAUAUUCACUUUGGAAGAGCAACCUCUUAAAAGCUCUCUGAAAUUUUGUGACUGCUUUGUCUUUUGCCUUCACUGUGGUCAGUAUAGGCGAAUAAUUAAAAUAGCUGAAUUUGAAACAUCAUAGAGUGUCUGAGAGUUAAGGCAGCUAACAAAGAUGUGGUUUUUAUCAUAGCAGCAAUGCAACAGCCUUUGAAUGUCACAUGCUGCAGCCACAAAAAGAAGAGUAUUGCCUUGAAACCUGUCACCUUACCUGAGCUCCCAUGUCAUUCUCAGUUGUUUUGUAUUGUGCUACUUGUCUUUAGGAAAAUCUGUAGGCUAGUGCUUGGGAAGUUGACUUAGAGUUUACUCAGGGUCUGGUGUAAGAGGAAUUUAUACAGGCUGCUGCUGUAGCCCUGUUGGACUGUUCUGUGGGUAUCACUGUAGCGCAGAAAGAUCAGGAUUGAGAGAAGGCAGAUGAAGGUCAUAACAGUAAAGUGUUGCUAUAUGAGGGUUAUUCUUUGUGACAUCUGUUUUUAAGUAUAUAUGAAACUACACUGUAGAGCAAGAUUCCAUCUCAAAGCUGAGAUAUCUGUUGCCAAAAUUCAUUUAAGAGAGGGCAGGGCUGGCUGCAGGGCUCGCCCGUUUCUCUAC